Long non-coding RNA from Rhipicephalus sanguineus (brown dog tick), 268 nucleotides. RefSeq lists it as uncharacterized. The transcript has 3 exons. NCBI's taxonomy places the organism in Eukaryota, Metazoa, Arthropoda, Arachnida, Ixodida, Ixodidae. The record is from RefSeq and is a predicted model, not a curated record.
ACUAAGUCUCGAAUGAGUGACCAUGAAUCGUUCUAAGCUGUGGAAAAAACGAGGCCGCUACAAGAAAUUCUUGCACCCUGGUGCAAAAUUCGAAGUGCCGAAGUCGACAGUCAGCAGACACCGGCUCGCGAAUGCAGCGGUAUCUUCAGUUGCCGAAAAUCAGACAGGCACGUCCUGGGGCGACGGGGAAACCACAAGCUCUACUGCGAUUCCUCUGCAAACUGAUGCAUUGCCUCUGAACGAAAAUAUUACACAGCCAGAUGAAGAU